RNAcentral lists this ribosomal RNA (477 nucleotides) under Veillonella dispar. RNAcentral's name for it is "bacterial SSU rRNA". It matches the Rfam family "Bacterial small subunit ribosomal RNA", at positions 28 to 474 of the family's 1533-position model. The record is from RNAcentral. Lineage: Bacteria; Bacillati; Bacillota; Negativicutes; Veillonellales; Veillonellaceae.
GACGAACGCUGGCGGCGUGCUUAACACAUGCAAGUCGAACGAAGAGCGAUGGAAGCUUGCUUCUAUCAAUCUUAGUGGCGAACGGGUGAGUAACGCGUAAUCAACCUGCCCUUCAGAGGGGGACAACAGUUGGAAACGACUGCUAAUACCGCAUACGAUCUAAUCUCGGCAUCGAGGAAAGAUGAAAGGUGGCCUCUAUGUAUAAGCUAUCACUGAAGGAGGGGAUUGCGUCUGAUUAGCUAGUUGGAGGGGUAACGGCCCACCAAGGCGAUGAUCAGUAGCCAGUCUGAGAGGAUGAACGGCCACAUUGGGACUGAGACACGGCCCAGACUCCUACGGGAGGCAGCAGUGGGGAAUCUUCCGCAAUGGACGAAAGUCUGACGGAGCAACGCCGCGUGAGUGAUGACGGCCUUCGGGUUGUAAAGCUCUGUUAAUCGGGACGAAAGGCCUUCUUGCGAAUAGUUAGAAGGAUUGACG